UCCCCAAAUUAAUUUACUAAUUUCCUUAAACUGUUUAUUUUGUUUACAAACCGUUCAUACCACACCCCAAAUCCGCAACUCAUUAUCCAAUUCGAGCUCAUCCCAUAACACAUAAAUAUCCGGUGCACAAGGUCACUUCCUCUUUGGCAAUCUCCUCACCUGGGGUCACGCAGGCAGCACGGCUGGUUGGCAGCAGAAAUUACACACUACCUUCACUAAACGGUCGAUCCUAACAUUAUAGAGACUCAGCGGUCAGGUUUUUUUUGUUACCCCUUCCUUUCCCUGGAUUGGAUCCGUCGUAAGACUGGCGAGCUACCCAAGGAACUCUGAACUCCCCACACCUACCCCCCUUUCCCAAAGAAGACUACCACGGUUAGGGUAGGAACAAGGACUCUGGGACAUGAGGAACUGAACUGAUUUAAGGUCGAUUAGAGAAAGGGCAGAACUUUAAUUUUUUUGCAAUUUUUUAAAAAAGGCCUCCCUUUGUUAUUAUUGAUGGAUUGUUUGAAGUUGUUUGUGUUUAUUAUUUGGAAAAAAUAUUAUUUGUCAAUACACUUACUUUAAACUUAA
Molecule: long non-coding RNA, 570 nt
Organism: Cheilinus undulatus (humphead wrasse)
Lineage: Eukaryota; Metazoa; Chordata; Actinopteri; Labriformes; Labridae
Exons: 2
Source: RefSeq, a predicted model, not a curated record